Molecule: transfer RNA, 76 nt
Filed under: Candidatus Aminicenantota bacterium
Lineage: Bacteria; Candidatus Aminicenantota
Also listed under: 2 other names
Description: tRNA-Arg
Rfam family: tRNA
About the family: Transfer RNA (tRNA) molecules are approximately 80 nucleotides in length. Their secondary structure includes four short double-helical elements and three loops (D, anti-codon, and T loops). Further hydrogen bonds mediate the characteristic L-shaped molecular structure. tRNAs have two regions of fundamental functional importance: the anti-codon, which is responsible for specific mRNA codon recognition, and the 3' end, to which the tRNAs corresponding amino acid is attached (by aminoacyl-tRNA synthetases). tRNAs cope with the degeneracy of the genetic code in two manners: having more than one tRNA (with a specific anti-codon) for a particular amino acid; and 'wobble' base-pairing, i.e. permitting non-standard base-pairing at the 3rd anti-codon position.
Source: RNAcentral
GCGCCCGUAGCUCAGUGGAUAGAGCGGUGGACUUCGAAUCCAAAGGUCGGGGGUUCAAAUCCCUCCGGGCGUACCA